Molecule: ribosomal RNA, 676 nt
Filed under: uncultured bacterium
Lineage: Bacteria
Description: bacterial SSU rRNA
Rfam family: Bacterial small subunit ribosomal RNA
Source: RNAcentral
GGGGACAACCCGCCGAAAGGCGGGCUAAACCCGCGUACAUGCCACCGGGGCAUCCCGGAGGCAGGAAAGGCUUCGGCCGGACAGGGAUGGGCAUGCGGCGCAUUAGGCAGUAGGCGGGGUAACGGCCCACCUAACCGACGAUGCGUAGGGGUUCUGAGAGGAAGGUCCCCCACACUGGUACUGAGACACGGACCAGACUCCUACGGGAGGCAGCAGUGAGGAAUAUUGGUCAAUGGUCGGGAGACUGAACCAGCCAAGCCGCGUGAGGGAUGAAGGUACAGAGUAUCGUAAACCUCUUUUGUCAGGGAACAAAGGCGGGGACGUGUCCCCGGAUGAGUGUACCUGAAGAAAAAGCAUCGGCUAACUCCGUGCCAGCAGCCGCGGUAAUACGGAGGAUGCGAGCGUUAUCCGGAUUUAUUGGGUUUAAAGGGUGCGCAGGCGGUCUGUUAAGUCAGCGGUCAAAGCCCGGGGCUCAACCCCGGCCCGCCGUUGAAACUGGCAGUCUCGGGUUGGAGAGAAGUAUGCGGAAUGCGCGGUGUAGCGGUGAAAUGCAUAGAUAUCGCGCAGAACUCCGAUUGCGAAGGCAGCAUGCCGGCUCCACACUGACGCUGAGGCACGAAAGCGUGGGUAUCGAACAGGAUUAGAUACCCUGGUAGUCCACGCAGUAAACGAUGAA